RNAcentral lists this long non-coding RNA (337 nucleotides) under Phoenix dactylifera (date palm). RNAcentral describes it as "long non-coding RNA (PDAC_LNC016748)". The record is from RNAcentral. Lineage: Eukaryota; Viridiplantae; Streptophyta; Magnoliopsida; Arecales; Arecaceae.
CGAAUUUAGUCCCACAUCGGCUGGUAGCGGAAAGGUUCUGUGCCUUAAAUGGGGGGUGGAAAUCCUUUCCUCUCGAGGGCCCUUUUGUGGGACAAAACCGUGAGGGCACCAGUCUCCCCCCGUCUGCGCUGGACGCGCGGGCCGGAGCGCCCAAAGCGGACAAUACCUCGGGAGGAACGCAGUCCUCUUUCUCUGCUAGCUUAAUGUGGGCUAACUGUUGCGUGAGGCUCCGGUCCCAAAGCGCCGUCCCCGCAACAGGAAUAAAUGAGGACAUGAGAGUAAGAAGUGCUUCUUUGUAGAUUAGAAAACCGAAAGAGAAAUAAAAAGGAAAUUUGCU